ACAAAGUCUGACGGAGCACGCCGCGUGAGUGAUGAAGGUUUUCGGAUCGUAAAACUCUGUUAUUAGGGAAGAANAANUGUGUAAGUAACUG
RNAcentral lists this ribosomal RNA (91 nucleotides) under uncultured Staphylococcus sp. RNAcentral's name for it is "partial 16S ribosomal RNA". Lineage: Bacteria; Bacillati; Bacillota; Bacilli; Caryophanales; Staphylococcaceae. The record is from RNAcentral.